CCCUAUCCAAGGCUUCAUGAUGUCUUGCCUGCUGGCUUAACAUGUAGUUGUCUUUUUAUUUUUUUAUAUACCAGUCACAACUCAGAGAGAGGAGGGGAUAGCAAAACCUUGAAGGAUGGAGCUCAAAAUUCAAAGCAGCCACAGGGAAUUCCAAGGCAAGAGCACAAGGCAAACAAGCUGAGUGAAGAAGUGAGACCAUGCUGGAGGACAGGCGUUGGGACAUUUGACCUCUUGCUCUAUCCUGAGAGUCACCAUGCGGUCGAUGGAGGUUCUUGGUGCUGGAUACACUUCGUAUCUGGCUCCUUGUUUUACAUUUGCUGGCCUGGAUGGGAAAGACUGAAAGCUCAUAUCCUAUAGUUGGCAGGCUGGGAUCAUCUGGACACCGGGCAUCUCUUUGACCACCAUCAGUGCUGCUUCAUGAUCUGCCAGCACCAGCCAUAACUCACCAGUGCAAGAUAGAUCAUGUCUUUUGCUUUUCCCCCAAUGACACUCAAACUAGAUAAUCUGGCCAAAAGCCAGUGACAUUUAUCCAGCAAAGGUAUGUGGCAGAUAAUACUGCAACUAUUGAUAAAGAAACAAGUAUUCUGAUGCUUGUAAUCUACAUGAUGCAACAAAUAAAAUAAACAAUGGAAAUAUACUGGACAAUACAAACUCAUGUUAUCCAGUGUGCCAAUAAUGCUAUGUUUCUGAUCACUUUAUCCUUUAUAUAAUUAGUGGUAGGUUGGUUGGGAAUCAUUAGCACAUGUCUUAUCUACCUGUAAAAUGUAUUUUACCAAUUGCUGCUUUUAUAAUUAGCAAAUAAAUAACACGUCCCGCAAAA
Long non-coding RNA from Leucoraja erinaceus (little skate), 820 nucleotides. RefSeq lists it as uncharacterized. The record is from RefSeq and is a predicted model, not a curated record. The transcript is spliced from 3 exons. NCBI's taxonomy places the organism in Eukaryota, Metazoa, Chordata, Chondrichthyes, Rajiformes, Rajidae.